Molecule: ribosomal RNA, 332 nt
Filed under: uncultured bacterium
Lineage: Bacteria
Description: partial 16S ribosomal RNA
Rfam family: Bacterial small subunit ribosomal RNA
Source: RNAcentral
CCUACGGGCGGCUGCAGUCGAGAAUCAUUCACAAUGGGGGAAACCCUGAUGGGGCGACGCCGCGUGGGGGAAUGAAGGUCUUCGGAUUGUAAACCCCUGUCAUGUGGGAGCAAAUUAAAAAGAUAGUACCACAAGAGGAAGAGACGGCUAACCCUGUGCCAGCAGCCGCGGUAAUACAGAGGUCUCAAGCGUUGUUCGGAACCACUGGGCGUAAAGCGUGCGUAGGCGGUUUCGUAAGUCGUGUGUGACAGGCGCGGGCUCACCCCGCGGACGGCACAUGAUACUGCGAGACUAGAGUAAUGGAGGGGGAACCGGCAUUCUCGUUGUCGCCG